GGCCCAGUGGUCGAGCGGUUAAGACGUAAUUCUUUCAAUAUUAACAUCGGGGAUUCGAAUUCCUCCUGGGUCA
This 73-nucleotide transfer RNA is filed under the name Heterodermia speciosa. RNAcentral describes it as "tRNA-Glu". It matches the Rfam family "tRNA". Rfam says of the family: Transfer RNA (tRNA) molecules are approximately 80 nucleotides in length. Lineage: Eukaryota; Fungi; Ascomycota; Lecanoromycetes; Caliciales; Physciaceae. The record is from RNAcentral.